RNAcentral lists this long non-coding RNA (293 nucleotides) under Capsicum annuum. RNAcentral describes it as "long non-coding RNA (CANN_LNC019947)". Lineage: Eukaryota; Viridiplantae; Streptophyta; Magnoliopsida; Solanales; Solanaceae. The record is from RNAcentral.
UUUUGUUUGUUUAGAUUGUUUCUAGUGUUGGUUUCUUUCUCACCAACACUAAAGUGUCUAGAUCUAAAAAUUUGAGCUUAUGUUGUUGACCUUGUUGAUGUAAAUUGGAAGUUGGUCGUGUGUUGAUAUUGUUGAUCUUGGCCAUGUGUUGCAAUUGUUGUGGACUUGGAGGUGAAUGUUGGUGGUGUUCUUGAGAAAUUGUUAUUGAGAUCUUGUUGUUCUUCACAUCCUGACAUCUCUUAAUCAAUAUAAAGUAUAACAUAGAUCCAAAAAAGGUGUAAGAUAAAGUUGNN